UACAGAGGUCUCAAGCGUUGUUCGGAUUCAUUGGGCGUAAAGGGUGCGUAGGUGGCGCCGUAAGUCGGGUGUGAAAUUUCGGAGCUUAACUCCGAAAACUGCAUUCGAUACUGCGGUGCUUGAGGACUGGAGAGGAGACUGGAAUUCAUGGUGUAGCAGUGAAAAUGCGUAGAGAUCAUGAGGAAGACCAGUGGCGAAAGGCGGGUCUCUGGACAGUUCCUGACAUGAGGCACGAAGGCCCAGGGGGAGCAAAACGGGG
Molecule: ribosomal RNA, 259 nt
Filed under: uncultured bacterium
Lineage: Bacteria
Description: partial 16S ribosomal RNA
Rfam family: Bacterial small subunit ribosomal RNA
Source: RNAcentral